This 492-nucleotide ribosomal RNA is filed under the name uncultured bacterium. RNAcentral describes it as "partial 16S ribosomal RNA". It matches the Rfam family "Bacterial small subunit ribosomal RNA", at positions 29 to 507 of the family's 1533-position model. The record is from RNAcentral.
AGUGAACGCUGGCGGUAGGCCUAACACAUGCAAGUCGAACGGCAGCACAGUAAGAGCUUGCUCUUACGGGUGGCGAGUGGCGGACGGGUGAGGAAUACAUCGGAAUCUACUUUUUCGUGGGGGAUAACGUAGGGACACUUACGCUAAUACCGCAUACGACCUACGGGUGAAAGCAGGGGAUAUUCGGACCUUGCGCGUUUGAAUGAGCUGAUGUCGGAUUAGCUAGUUGGCGGGGUAAAGGCCCACCAAGGCGACGAUCCGUAGCUGGUCUGAGAGGAUGAUCAGCCACACUGGAACUGAGACACGGUCCAGACUCCUACGGGAGGCAGCAGUGGGGAAUAUUGGACAAAGGGCGCAAGCCUGAUCCAGCCAUACCGCGUGAGUGAAGAAGGCCUUCGGGUUGUAAAGCCCUUUUAUUGGGAAAGAAAAGCAGCAGGUUAAUACCCCGCUGUUCUGACGGUACCCAAAGAAUAAGCACCGGCUAACUUCGUG